UUCCGGUUGAUCCCGCCGGAGGCUACCGCUAUUGGAGUUCGAUUAAGCCAUGCGAGUCGCGAGUCUUAGGGACUCGGCGUACCGCUCAGUAACACGUGGGUAACCUGCCCUAUGCUGGGGGAUAACCUCGGGAAACUGAGAAUAAUACCCCAUAGUUCACCACGCCUGGAACGGUGGGUGGAUGAAAGCUCCGGCGGCAUAGGAUGGGCCUGCGGCGUAUCAGGUUGUAGGGGGUGUAAUGUACCCUCUAGCCAUCUACGCGUACGGGUGUUGGGAGACAUCGCCCGGAGAUGGAUUCUGAGACACGAAUCCAGACCCUACGGGGUGCAGCAGGCGCGAAAACUUCGCAAUGCGGGAAACCGUGACGAGGGAACUCCAAGUGUCUAUGCAUUGCAUAGACUGUUUUUUAGCCUAAAUAGCUAUUAGAGUAAGGGGUGGGCAAGACCGGUGCCAGCCGCCGCGGUAACACCGGCACCUCUAGUGGUAGCCACUAUUAUUGGGCCUAAAGCGUUCGUAGCCGGUUUGGUAAAUUCUUGGGUAAAUCGUACCGCUUAACGGUGCGGAUUCCGGGGACACUACCAGACUUGAGACCGGGGGAGAUCAGAGGUACUUGCGGGGGAGCGGUGAAAUGUUGUAAUCCCGCAGGGACCACCAGUGGCGAAGGCGUCUGAUCAGAACGGCUCUGACGGUGAGGAACGAAACCCUGGGGCGCAAACGGGAUUAGAUACCCCGGUAGUCCAGGGCGUAAACGCUGCUGACUUGGUGUUGGGGAUCCUACGAGGAUGCCCAGUGCUGGCGCGAAGGUAUUAAGUCAGCCGCCUGGGGAGUACGGUCGCAAGACUGAAACUUAAAGGAAUUGGCGGGGGAGCACUGCAACGUGUGGAGCGUGCGGUUUAAUUGGAGUCAACGCCGG
This 913-nucleotide ribosomal RNA is filed under the name uncultured marine archaeon. RNAcentral's name for it is "bacterial SSU rRNA". It matches the Rfam family "Archaeal small subunit ribosomal RNA", at positions 1 to 921 of the family's 1478-position model. The record is from RNAcentral.